CAGGCCUAACACAUGCAAGUCGAACGGUAACAGGAAACAGCUUGCUGUUUCGCUGACGAGUGGCGGACGGGUGAGUAAUGUCUGGGAAACUGCCUGAUGGAGGGGGAUAACUACUGGAAACGGUAGCUAAUACCGCAUAACGUCGCAAGACCAAAGAGGGGGACCUUCGGGCCUCUUGCCAUCGGAUGUGCCCAGAUGGGAUUAGCUAGUAGGUGGGGUAACGGCUCACCUAGGCGACGAUCCCUAGCUGGUCUGAGAGGAUGACCAGCCACACUGGAACUGAGACACGGUCCAGACUCCUACGGGAGGCAGCAGUGGGGAAUAUUGCACAAUGGGCGCAAGCCUGAUGCAGCCAUGCCGCGUGUAUGAAGAAGGCCUUCGGGUUGUAAAGUACUUUCAGCGGGGAGGAAGGGAGUAAAGUUAAUACCUUUGCUCAUUGACGUUACCCGCAGAAGAAGCACCGGCUAACUCCGUGCCAGCAGCCGCGGUAAUACGGAGGGUGCAAGCGUUAAUCGGAAUUACUGGGCGUAAAGCGCACGCAGGCGGUUUGUUAAGUCAGAUGUGAAAUCCCCGGGCUCAACCUGGGAACUGCAUCUGAUACUGGCAAGCUUGAGUCUCGUAGAGGGGGGUAGAAUUCCAGGUGUAGCGGUGAAAUGCGUAGAGAUCUGGAGGAAUACCGGUGGCGAAG
RNAcentral lists this ribosomal RNA (688 nucleotides) under uncultured Pseudomonadota bacterium. Its description in RNAcentral is "bacterial SSU rRNA". It matches the Rfam family "Bacterial small subunit ribosomal RNA", at positions 43 to 720 of the family's 1533-position model. The record is from RNAcentral. Lineage: Bacteria; Pseudomonadati; Pseudomonadota.